RNAcentral lists this ribosomal RNA (334 nucleotides) under Mesobuthus eupeus (lesser Asian scorpion). RNAcentral describes it as "partial 16S ribosomal RNA". The record is from RNAcentral. Lineage: Eukaryota; Metazoa; Arthropoda; Arachnida; Scorpiones; Buthidae.
CUUUUGCACCAAAGACGGACUUUUAAUUCAACAUCGAGGUCAUCAACUCACUUGUCAAUUNGGNCUUUUUAAGUGAAUUAAGCUGUUAUCCCUAAAGUAACUUAUUCUUUUUUUAAAAUUUUUAGNUAUUAAGCCCUNUAAAGUCUUUUGAAAACAAGAAAAGUUAUUUUCCCUNCCGCCCCAGUAAAAUAUUCAUUGUCCUUCCUAAAAGAAAUAAAUAUAAAGUUUUAUAGGGUCUUCUUGUCUUUAAGAAUUAUUUUAGCCUUCUUACUAAAAGGUCAACUUCAUUUUUUUAUCUUAAAAAAGCCUAUUCCAGUUUACCCUUUCAUUCCAG